UAGGGAAUCUUCGGCAAUGGGGGCAACCCUGACCGAGCAACGCCGCGUGAGUGAAGAAGGUUUUCGGAUCGUAAAGCUCUGUUGUAAGUCAAGAACGAGUGUGAGGGUGGAAAGUUCACACUGUGACGGUAGCUUACCAGAAAGGGACGGCUAACUACGUGCCAGCAGCCGCGGUAAUACGUAGGUCCCGAGCGUUGUCCGGAUUUAUUGGGCGUAAAGCGAGCGCAGGCGGUUUGAUAAGUCUGAAGUUAAAGGCUGUGGCUCAACCAUAGUUCGCUUUGGAAACUGUCAAACUUGAGUGCAGAAGGGGAGAGUGGAAUUCCAUGUGUAGCGGUGAAAUGCGUAGAUAUAUGGAGGAACACCGGUGGCGAAAGCGGCUCUCUGGUCUGUAACUGACGCUGAGGCUCGAAAGCGUGGGGAGCGAACAGGAUUAGAUACUCUGGUAGUCCACGCCGUAACGAUGAGUGCUAGGUGUUGGAUCCUUUCCGGGAUUCAGUGCCGCAGCUAACGCAUUAAGCACUCCGCCUGGGGAGUACGACCGCAAGGUUG
Molecule: ribosomal RNA, 549 nt
Filed under: uncultured bacterium
Lineage: Bacteria
Description: bacterial SSU rRNA
Rfam family: Bacterial small subunit ribosomal RNA
Source: RNAcentral